CCUACGGGAGGCUGCAGUGGGGAAUAUUGGGCAAUGGGCGCAAGCCUGACCCAGCAACGCCGCGUGAAGGAAGACGGCUUUCGGGUUGUAAACUUCUUUUGUCAGGGAAGAGUAGAAGACGGUACCUGACGAAUAAGCCACGGCUAACUACGUGCCAGCAGCCGCGGUAAUACGUAGGUGGCAAGCUGUGACCGGAGUUACUGGGUGUAAAGGGCGUGUAGCCGGGUUGACAAGGCAGAUGUGAAAUCCUGCGGCUUAACCGCAGAACUGCAGUUGAAACUGUUGUUCUUGAGUAGUGGAGAGGCAGACGGAAUUCGUAGUGUAGCGGUGAAAUGCGUAGAUAUUAGGAGGAACACCAGUGGCGAAGGCGGUCUGCUGGAGAGCAACUGACGGUGAGGCACGAAAGCGUGGGGAGCAAACAGGAUUAGAUACCCUAGUAGUC
This 442-nucleotide ribosomal RNA is filed under the name uncultured bacterium. RNAcentral's name for it is "partial 16S ribosomal RNA". It matches the Rfam family "Bacterial small subunit ribosomal RNA", at positions 338 to 795 of the family's 1533-position model. The record is from RNAcentral.